GCCUCUGUGGCUCAGUGGUAGAGCAUCUGUCUUGUAAACAGAAGGUCCCCGGUUCAAUCCCGGGCGGAGCAUUGCC
This 76-nucleotide transfer RNA is filed under the name Pythium insidiosum. RNAcentral describes it as "tRNA-Thr". It matches the Rfam family "tRNA". From Rfam's summary of the family: Transfer RNA (tRNA) molecules are approximately 80 nucleotides in length. Their secondary structure includes four short double-helical elements and three loops (D, anti-codon, and T loops). Further hydrogen bonds mediate the characteristic L-shaped molecular structure. tRNAs have two regions of fundamental functional importance: the anti-codon, which is responsible for specific mRNA codon recognition, and the 3' end, to which the tRNAs corresponding amino acid is attached (by aminoacyl-tRNA synthetases). tRNAs cope with the degeneracy of the genetic code in two manners: having more than one tRNA (with a specific anti-codon) for a particular amino acid; and 'wobble' base-pairing, i.e. permitting non-standard base-pairing at the 3rd anti-codon position. Lineage: Eukaryota; Oomycota; Peronosporomycetes; Pythiales; Pythiaceae. The record is from RNAcentral.